RNAcentral lists this ribosomal RNA (158 nucleotides) under uncultured bacterium. Its description in RNAcentral is "partial 16S ribosomal RNA". It matches the Rfam family "Bacterial small subunit ribosomal RNA", at positions 355 to 509 of the family's 1533-position model. The record is from RNAcentral.
UGAGGAAUAUUGGUCAAUGGGCGAGAGCCUGAACCAGCCAAGUCGCGGUGAGGGAAGACGGUCCUACGGAUUGUAAACCUCUUUUGUCGGGGAGCAAUAAAGCGUACGCGUACGCAGAUGCGAGUACCCGAAGAAAAAGCAUCGGCUAACUCCGUGCC